Molecule: non-coding RNA, 25 nt
Filed under: Mus musculus (house mouse)
Lineage: Eukaryota; Metazoa; Chordata; Mammalia; Rodentia; Muridae
Source: RNAcentral
UAAAAGCUCUGACUGCCUUGAAGAU